GACGAACGCUGGCGGCGUGCUUAACACAUGCCAGUCGAACGGAAAGGCCCUGCUUUUGUGGGGUGCUCGAGUGGCGAACGGGUGAGUAACACGUGAGUAACCUGCCCUUGACUUUGGGAUAACUUCAGGAAACUGGGGCUAAUACCGGAUAGGAGCUCCUGCUGCAUGGUGGGGGUUGGAAAGUUUCGGCGGUUGGGGAUGGACUCGCGGCUUAUCAGCUUGUUGGUGGGGUAGUGGCUUACCAAGGCUGUGACGGGUAGCCGGCCUGAGAGGGUGACCGGGCACAUUGGGACUGAGAUACGGCCCAGACGCCUACGGGAGGCAGCAGUGGGGAAUAUUGCACAAUGGGCGGAAGCCUGAUGCAGCAACGCCGCGUGCGGGAUGACGGCCUUCGGGUUGUAAACCGCUUUCGCCUGUGACGAAGCGUGAGUGACGGUAAUGGGUAAAGAAGCACCGGCUAACUACGUG
This 468-nucleotide ribosomal RNA is filed under the name uncultured bacterium. RNAcentral's name for it is "partial 16S ribosomal RNA". It matches the Rfam family "Bacterial small subunit ribosomal RNA", at positions 28 to 507 of the family's 1533-position model. The record is from RNAcentral.